RNAcentral lists this ribosomal RNA (492 nucleotides) under uncultured bacterium. RNAcentral describes it as "partial 16S ribosomal RNA". It matches the Rfam family "Bacterial small subunit ribosomal RNA", at positions 29 to 507 of the family's 1533-position model. The record is from RNAcentral.
AGUGAACGCUGGCGGUAGGCCUAACACAUGCAAGUCGAACGGCAGCACAGUAAGAGCUUGCUCUUACGGGUGGCGAGUGGCGGACGAGUGAGGAAUACAUCGGAAUCUACUUUUUCGUGGGGGAUAACGUAGGGAAACUUACGCUAAUACCGCAUACGACCUACGGGUGAAAGCAGGGGAUCUUCGGACUUUGCGCGAUUGAAUGAGCCGAUGUCGGAUUAGCUAGUUGGCGGGGUAAAGGCCCACCAAGGCGACGAUCCGUAGCUGGUCUGAGAGGAUGAUCAGCCACACUGGAACUGAGACACGGUCCAGACUCCUACGGGAGGCAGCAGUGGGGAAUAUUGGACAAUGGGCGCAAGCCUGAUCCAGCCAUACCGCGUGGGUGAAGAAGGCCUUCGGGUUGUAAAGCCCUUUUGUUGGGAAAGAAAAGCAGCAGGUUAAUACCCCGCUGUUCUGACGGUACCCAAAGAAUAAGCACCGGCUAACUUCGUG